UAGUUAUCAAGAAAGGUGGAGGGAAUAGACCCUUUGAAGCCUUAGCAACCCUUGAGCGUUACCAACGACUGUUGGUACUCCAAGAAGGUGCUACAUUCUACCCUUGUGGGAAGGAUAACAC
This 121-nucleotide non-coding RNA is filed under the name Flavobacteriaceae bacterium. Its description in RNAcentral is "SAM-I sequence". It matches the Rfam family "SAM riboswitch aptamer (S box leader)". Rfam says of the family: The SAM riboswitch is found upstream of a number of genes which code for proteins involved in methionine or cysteine biosynthesis in Gram-positive bacteria. The SAM riboswitch acts at the level of transcription termination control. RNAcentral also lists the same sequence under 1 other name. Lineage: Bacteria; Pseudomonadati; Bacteroidota; Flavobacteriia; Flavobacteriales; Flavobacteriaceae. The record is from RNAcentral.